UGGGGAAUAUUGGACAAUGGGCGCAAGCCUGAUCCAGCCAUGCCGCGUGAGUGACGAAGGCCUUCGGGUUGUAAAACUCUUUUGGCGGGGAAGAUAAUGACGGUACCCGCAGAAUAAGCUCCGGCUAACUUCGUGCCAGCAGCCGCGGUAAUACGAAGGGAGCUAGCGUUGUUCGGAAUCACUGGGCGUAAAGCGCACGUAGGCGGAUUUGUCAGUCAGGGGUGAAAUCCCGGGGCUCAACCUCGGAAC
This 249-nucleotide ribosomal RNA is filed under the name uncultured Pedomicrobium sp. Its description in RNAcentral is "partial 16S ribosomal RNA". It matches the Rfam family "Bacterial small subunit ribosomal RNA", at positions 355 to 621 of the family's 1533-position model. Lineage: Bacteria; Pseudomonadati; Pseudomonadota; Alphaproteobacteria; Hyphomicrobiales; Hyphomicrobiaceae. The record is from RNAcentral.